AACGAACGCUGGCGGCAGGCUUAACACAUGCAAGUCGGACGAGAUCUUCGGAUCUAGUGGCAGACGGGUGAGGAACACGUGGGAACAUCCCUUUCAGUUCGGAAUAACGUUGGGAAACUAACGCUAAUACCGGAUACGUCCUUCGGGAGAAAGAUUUAUCGAUGAAAGAUUGGGCCGCGUCUGAUUAGCUAGUUGGUGAGGUAACGGCUCACCAAGGCUACGAUAAGUAGCUGAUCUGAUAGGAUGAUCAGCCACAUUGGGACUGAGACACGGCCGAACAUACGACGCGAGGCAGCAGUGGGUACUAUUGGACAUUGGGCGCGAGCCUGUUCCAGCCAUGCCGCGUGAGUGAUGACCGCCAUCGGGUUGUAAAGCUCUGUCUUCAGGGACGAUAAUAACGGUACCUUAGGAGGAAGCCACGGCUAACUACGUGCCAGCAGCCGCAGUAA
This 449-nucleotide ribosomal RNA is filed under the name uncultured bacterium. RNAcentral's name for it is "partial 16S ribosomal RNA". It matches the Rfam family "Bacterial small subunit ribosomal RNA", at positions 29 to 523 of the family's 1533-position model. The record is from RNAcentral.